GAGUGAGAAUCAGAAGAGGAGGACGGGGAGGACGAGGACGAGGAAGGCCAAGAAAUAAUGUGAGGAUGAAGCAGGUCUACAGGGUGCCAUUUGAACGCAAUUCAGAAAGAGUCAAAGAAUUGCGAUGCAACUAAGUGCAAAGAGUCCUUGAGCUAGAGGUGGCUGCAGUUGAGCACCAGUUCAUCUUCAUUGAUGAGGUUGGAUUCAACCUCACAAAAAGACGAAGGAGGGGAAGGAAUAUCAUCGGCCAGCGUGCCGUUGUUGAAGUCCCUGGCCAGCGCGGAGGAAACAUCACAAUGUGUGCAGCGAUAACCCACCAUAGCGUCAUCCAUCACCAUGCCACCCUUGGCCGCUUCACCACUGCCCAUCUGAUCACAUUCCUGGACACCCUACACAGCACACUCAUUCCACCAGGUCAGGUAGACGGCCCAGAGCAGCUCAGGUACGUUGUCAUUUGGGACAACGUAAGUUUCCACCAGGCUGCUCUAGUUCGUGACUGGUUCACUGCCCACCCACGCUUUUUAGUUGUUUAUCUCCCUCCAUAUUCUCCAUUCCUCGAUCCUGUUGAGGAUUUUUUUUCUGCCUGGAGAUGGAAAGUAUAUGACCGAAAUCCAAAAACACCCCUUCUCCAAGCUAUGGAAGACGCAUGUGGAGAUAUAGCAGUUGAUGCCUUUCAUGGCUGGAUUCGCCAUGCUAGGGGAUAUUUCCCCCGCUGCUUAGCCAGGGAAAACAUUGUUUGUGAUGUGGAUGAGGUGCUGUGGCCAGACCGAAACAGUAGAGAGGAUGCAGCAUAGUUAUUUUUUUAUUUAUUUUUACUGUAACUGUAUACAUUAAAUUCUUAUGUUUAGUAUGUAGACAACUGUAUAUGCAACUUUGUGUUGGUUGGGAAUGCACAAUGUGUACAUUGUUUUUGUGGGAAAAAUAAAAUAUAUUUGUUACCAUGUAUUUGUGAGCUCUGAGUAUAAGAACGAUAUUCUCAAAUAUUUUACAACACACUUAUGUAUGUACGGUCCUAAGUCAUUAUGAUGAAUAGAGAAGAAGUGUUUUCCAUUCAUCAUAGUGUUUUACACUGAGUGUGUCUAUUCAUGUGAUGGUUUGUGUGCCUCAUUUGAAAACAAAAUACCAUUUUGAGAAGAAAUAACCUUGUUUUGACCGUAAAGUUUCAUUUUGCGGGAGAAAUGAGGGGUUGUUCCCAUUGUGUAUGUGUUUUUUGAUUUGUGUGUAGAGUUCUGAGAGUAUGAGGCAUGAUUUCAGAAAAUAUGUGUAAACAAUCGAGAAGAGCCAAGAACUUGCAUCACUGAGAGUGAAU
Molecule: long non-coding RNA, 1309 nt
Organism: Acanthopagrus latus (yellowfin seabream)
Lineage: Eukaryota; Metazoa; Chordata; Actinopteri; Spariformes; Sparidae
Exons: 3
Source: RefSeq, a predicted model, not a curated record